RNAcentral lists this ribosomal RNA (838 nucleotides) under Cryobacterium sp. UMB 45. RNAcentral describes it as "bacterial SSU rRNA". It matches the Rfam family "Bacterial small subunit ribosomal RNA", at positions 541 to 1381 of the family's 1533-position model. Lineage: Bacteria; Bacillati; Actinomycetota; Actinomycetes; Micrococcales; Microbacteriaceae. The record is from RNAcentral.
CGUGUCGGAUAUUGGGCGUAAGAGCUCGUAGGCGGUUUGUCGCGUCUGCUGUGAAAACCCGAGGCUCAACCUCGGGCCUGCAGUGGGUACGGGCAGACUAGAGUGCGGUAGGGGAGAUUGGAAUUCCUGGUGUAGCGGUGGAAUGCGCAGAUAUCAGGAGGAACACCAAUGGCGAAGGCAGAUCUCUGGGCCGUAACUGACGCUGAGGAGCGAAAGCAUGGGGAGCGAACAGGAUUAGAUACCCUGGUAGUCCAUGCCGUAAACGUUGGGAACUAGAUGUGGGGACCAUUCCACGGUCUCCGUGUCGCAGCUAACGCAUUAAGUUCCCCGCCUGGGGAGUACGGCCGCAAGGCUAAAACUCAAAGGAAUUGACGGGGGCCCGCACAAGCGGCGGAGCAUGCGGAUUAAUUCGAUGCAACGCGAAGAACCUUACCAAGGCUUGACAUAUAGAGGAAACGGCUGGAAACAGUCGCCCCGCAAGGUCUCUAUACAGGUGGUGCAUGGUUGUCGUCAGCUCGUGUCGUGAGAUGUUGGGUUAAGUCCCGCAACGAGCGCAACCCUCGUCCUAUGUUGCCAGCACGUAAUGGUGGGAACUCAUGGGAUACUGCCGGGGUCAACUCGGAGGAAGGUGGGGAUGACGUCAAAUCAUCAUGCCCCUUAUGUCUUGGGCUUCACGCAUGCUACAAUGGCCGGUACAAAGGGCUGCAAUACCGCAAGGUGGAGCGAAUCCCAAAAAGCCGGUCUCAGUUCGGAUUGAGGUCUGCAACUCGACCUCAUGAAGUCGGAGUCGCUAGUAAUCGCAGAUCAGCAACGCUGCGGUGAAUACGUUCCCGGGCCU